This 457-nucleotide ribosomal RNA is filed under the name uncultured Caldilineaceae bacterium. RNAcentral's name for it is "bacterial SSU rRNA". It matches the Rfam family "Bacterial small subunit ribosomal RNA", at positions 910 to 1382 of the family's 1533-position model. Lineage: Bacteria; Bacillati; Chloroflexota; Caldilineae; Caldilineales; Caldilineaceae. The record is from RNAcentral.
UUGACGGGCCCCGCACAAGCAGCGGAGCGUGUGGUUUAAUUCGAUGCUACACGAAGAACCUUACCUGGGUUUGACAUGUACGUAGUAGUGAACCGAAAGGGGAACGAGCCUUCGGGCAGCGUACACAGGUGCUGCAUGGCUGUCGUCAGCUCGUGCCGUGAGGUGUUGGGUUAAGUCCCGCAACGAGCGCAACCCUCAUCGCUAGUUACAUGUGUCUAGCGAGACUGCCAGGUUAACCCUGGAGGAAGGUGGGAUGACGUCAAGUCAGCAUGGCCUUUAUGCCCAGGGCUACACACACGCUACAAUGGUCGGUACAAUGGGAUGCCAAGCCGUGAGGCGGAGCAAAUCCUCAAAGCCGGCCUCAGUUCGAAUUGGAGGCUGCAACUCGCCUCCAUGAAGUCGGAGUUGCUAGUAACCGCAGGUCAGCUAUACUGCGGUGAAUACGUUCCCGGGGCUU